UACAUGGGGUGCAAACGUUGCUCGGAAUCAUUGGGCGUAAAGCGCGCGUAGGCGGUUACUUAAGUCGAAUGUGAAAGCCCUCGGCUUAACUGAGGAAGUGCAUCCGAAACUGAGUAGCUAGAGUACGAAAGAGGGUCGCGGAAUUCCCGGUGUAGAGGUGAAAUUCGUAGAUAUCGGGAGGAACACCGGUGGCGAAGGCGGCGCUCUGGACCGAGACUGACGCUGAGGCGCGAAAGCGUGGGGAGCAAACAGG
This 253-nucleotide ribosomal RNA is filed under the name uncultured bacterium. RNAcentral describes it as "partial 16S ribosomal RNA". It matches the Rfam family "Bacterial small subunit ribosomal RNA", at positions 524 to 776 of the family's 1533-position model. The record is from RNAcentral.